UCGAAAUCGAAAGUCUAGGCGGGGGGGAAGGGGGGCGKACRAAGGUCCUUUGCUCGAGGGGACUCGCGUCCUUCGGAASWCYCUAGUCCUAGCUCUUCGGACCCUCCGGAGCUUCGACGUUCUCAACACCUGUGUGCACCUGCUGUAGGUCCUUCGGGACCUACGUCUUCUCUUUCCAACUCGCAUGUCUACAGAAUGUGUGCGUCGCUCCGGCGACGGCGAACCUUAUAUAACUUUCAGCAAUGGAUCUCUUGGCUCUCGCAUCGAUGAAGAACGCAGCGAAUCGCGAUAAGUAAUGUGAAUUGCAGAUCUUCCGUGAAUCAUCGAAUCUUUGAACGCACCUUGCGCUCCUCGGUAUUCCGAGGAGCAUGCCUGUUUGAGUGUCAUCGAAACCUCGAACCGAAGCUCUCGACCCCGUCGGAGCUCGGUUUCGGACUGUGGGAGUCUGCGGGCGGCGACGUCGGCUCUCCUCAAAAGCAUUAGCUGUGGGUGCGAACCUCGUGUGGCACGGCCUCGUUCRACGUCGUAAUGAUCGUCGCGGGGCUGGAAGCGUGAGGSAUUMKAMGUGGUCCCAUGCUUCUCAACUCUCUGCGCCCCGUGCGCGUCAAGG
This 610-nucleotide small RNA is filed under the name uncultured Scleroderma. RNAcentral describes it as "eukaryotic LSU rRNA". The stretch from base 232 to 386 matches the Rfam family "5.8S ribosomal RNA". Lineage: Eukaryota; Fungi; Basidiomycota; Agaricomycetes; Boletales; Sclerodermataceae. The record is from RNAcentral.